RNAcentral lists this ribosomal RNA (288 nucleotides) under uncultured bacterium. Its description in RNAcentral is "partial 16S ribosomal RNA". It matches the Rfam family "Bacterial small subunit ribosomal RNA", at positions 773 to 1060 of the family's 1533-position model. The record is from RNAcentral.
GUGGAUUAGAUACCCUGGUAGUCCACACCGUAAACGUUGGGCGCUAGGUGUGGGAUCCAUUCCACGGGUUCCGUGCCGUAGCUAACGCAUUAAGCGCCCCGCCUGGGGAGUACGGCCGCAAGGCUAAAACUCAAAGGAAUUGACGGGGGCCCGCACAAGCGGCGGAGCAUGCGGAUUAAUUCGAUGCAACGCGAAGAACCUUACCUGGGUUUGACAUACGCCGGAAGCUCCCAGAGAUGGGGGUCUCUUUGAUACUGGUGUACAGGUGGUGCAUGGUUGUCGUCAACU